Molecule: ribosomal RNA, 538 nt
Filed under: Rhizoctonia solani
Lineage: Eukaryota; Fungi; Basidiomycota; Agaricomycetes; Cantharellales; Ceratobasidiaceae
Description: eukaryotic LSU rRNA
Rfam family: 5.8S ribosomal RNA (bases 134-287)
Source: RNAcentral
GUCUUUUGGGGUUUUGGGGGGCAGAGCUUUAUUGCAAAACCCUUUUUCCCCUUUUGCCUUUGCUGUCUACUCAAUUUAUACACACUCUAAUUAAUUUUAAAACGAAUGUAAUUGAUGUAACGCAUCUAAUACUAAGUUUCAACAACGGAUCUCUUGGCUCUCGCAUCGAUGAAGAACGCAGCGAAAUGCGAUAAGUAAUGUGAAUUGCAGAAUUCAGUGAAUCAUCGAAUCUUUGAACGCACCUUGCGCUCCUUGGUAUUCCUUGGAGCAUGCCUGUUUGAGUAUCAUGAAAUCUUCAAAGCAAACCUUUUGUUAAUUCAAUCGGUCUCUUGCUUUGGUAUUGGAGGUCUUUGCAGCUUCACACCUGCUCCUCUUUGUUCAUUAGCUGGAUCUCAGUGUUAUGCUUGGUUCCACUCGGCGUGAUAAGUUAUCUAUCGCUGAGGACACCGUAAAAAAGUGGCCAAGGUAAAUGCAGACGAACCGCUUCUAAUAGUCCAUUGACUUGGACAAUUAAAUUUUUAUGAUCUGAUCUCAAAUC